AGUGAACGCUGGCGGUAGGCCUAACACAUGCAAGUCGAACGGCAGCACAGUAAGAGCUUGCUCUUACGGGUGGCGAGUGGCGGACGGGUGAGGAAUACAUCGGAAUCUACUUUUUCGUGGGGGAUAACGUAGGGAAACUUACGCUAAUAUCGCAUACGACCUACGGGUGAAAGCAGGGGAUCUUCGGACCUUGCGCGAUUGAAUGAGCCGAUGUCGGAUUAGCUAGUUGGCGGGGUAAAGGCCCACCAAGGCGACGAUCCGUAGCUGGUCUGAGAGGAUGAUCAGCCACACUGGAACUGAGACACGGUCCAGACUCCUACGGGAGGCAGCAGUAGGGAAUAUUGGACAAUGGGCGCAAGCCUGAUCCAGCCAUACCGCGUGGGUGAAGAAGGCCUUCGGGUUGUAAAGCCCUUUUGUUGGGAAAGAAAAGCAGCAGGUUAAUACCCCGCUGUUCUGACGGUACCCAAAGAAUAAGCACCGGCUAACUUCGUG
RNAcentral lists this ribosomal RNA (492 nucleotides) under uncultured bacterium. RNAcentral's name for it is "partial 16S ribosomal RNA". It matches the Rfam family "Bacterial small subunit ribosomal RNA", at positions 29 to 507 of the family's 1533-position model. The record is from RNAcentral.